RNAcentral lists this ribosomal RNA (425 nucleotides) under uncultured bacterium. Its description in RNAcentral is "partial 16S ribosomal RNA". It matches the Rfam family "Bacterial small subunit ribosomal RNA", at positions 354 to 796 of the family's 1533-position model. The record is from RNAcentral.
GUGGGGAAUAUUAGGCAAUGGGGGAAACCCUGACCUAGCAACGCCGCGUGAAGGAUGAAGGUUUUCGGAUUGUAAACUUCUUUGGCCCGGGACGAUAAUGACGGUACCGGGAGAACAAGCCACGGCUAACUACGUGCCAGCAGCCGCGGUAAUACGUAGGUGGCAAGCGUUGUCCGGAUUUACUGGGUGUAAAGGGCGAGUAGGCGGGGAUGCAAGUCAGAUGUGAAAUACCGAGGCUUAACCUCGGAACUGCAUUUGAAACUGCAUUUCUUGAGUGAUGGAGAGGCAGGCGGAAUUCCCGGUGUAGCGGUGAAAUGCAUAGAGAUCGGGAGGAACACCAGUGGCGAAGGCGGCCUGCUGGACAUUAACUGACGCUGAGGCGCGAAAGUGUGGGGAGCAAACAGGAUUAGAAACCCCAGUAGUCC